UGGGGAAUAUUGCACAAUGGGCGCAAGCCUGAUGCAGCCAUGCCGCGUGUAUGAAGAAGGCCUUCGGGUUGUAAAGUACUUUCAGCGGGGAGGAAGGCGAUAAGGUUAAUAACCUUGUCGAUUGACGUUACCCGCAGAAGAAGCACCGGCUAACUCCGUGCCAGCAGCCGCGGUAAUACGGAGGGUGCAAGCGUUAAUCGGAAUUACUGGGCGUAAAGCGCACGCAGGCGGUCUGUCAAGUCGGAUGUGAAAUCCCCGGGCUCAACCUGGGAACUGCAUUCGAAACUGGCAGGCUAGAGUCUUGUAGAGGGGGGUAGAAUUCCAGGUGUAGCGGUGAAAUGCGUAGAGAUCUGGAGGAAUACCGGUGGCGAAGGCGGCCCCCUGGACAAAGACUGACGCUCAGGUGCGAAAGCGUGG
RNAcentral lists this ribosomal RNA (417 nucleotides) under uncultured bacterium. RNAcentral's name for it is "partial 16S ribosomal RNA". It matches the Rfam family "Bacterial small subunit ribosomal RNA", at positions 355 to 764 of the family's 1533-position model. The record is from RNAcentral.